Molecule: ribosomal RNA, 738 nt
Filed under: uncultured bacterium
Lineage: Bacteria
Description: bacterial SSU rRNA
Rfam family: Bacterial small subunit ribosomal RNA
Source: RNAcentral
AACAGGAUUAGAUACCCUGGUAGUCCACGCCGUAAACGGUGGGCGCUAGGUGUGGGGACUGGUUCCACGGUUUCCGUGCCGUAGCUAACGCAUUAAGCGCCCCGCCUGGGGAGUACGGCCGCAAGGCUAAAACUCAAAGGAAUUGACGGGGGUCCGCACAAGCGGCGGAGCAUGUGGAUUAAUUCGAUGCAACGCGAAGAACCUUACCUGGGUUUGACAUGCACUGGAUCGCCCUAGAGAUAGGGUUUCCCUUGUGGCUGGUGCACAGGUGGUGCAUGGCUGUCGUCAGCUCGUGUCGUGAGAUGUUGGGUUAAGUCCCGCAACGAGCGCAACCCUUGCCCCAUGUUGCCAGCGGUUCGGCCGGGGACUCGUGGGGGACUGCCGGGGUCAACUCGGAGGAAGGUGGGGAUGACGUCAAGUCAUCAUGCCCCUUAUGCCCAGGGCUUCACACAUGCUACAAUGGCCGGUACAGAGGGUGGCGAGACCGUGAGGUGGAGCGAAUCCCAGAAAGCCGGUCUCAGUUCGGAUCGGGGUCUGCAACUCGACCCCGUGAAGUCGGAGUCGCUAGUAAUCGCAGAUCAGCAAUGCUGCGGUGAAUACGUUCCCGGGCCUUGUACACACCGCCCGUCACGUCAUGAAAGUCGGUAACACCCGAAGCCCAUGGCCCAACCCCCGUGUGGGGGAGGGAGUGGUCGAAGGUGGGACUGGCGAUUGGGACGAAGUCGUAACAAGGUAACC